Molecule: ribosomal RNA, 932 nt
Filed under: Escherichia coli
Lineage: Bacteria; Pseudomonadati; Pseudomonadota; Gammaproteobacteria; Enterobacterales; Enterobacteriaceae
Description: partial 23S ribosomal RNA
Rfam family: Bacterial large subunit ribosomal RNA
Source: RNAcentral
UGGAAGCGUCUGGAAAGGCGCGCGAUACAGGGUGACAGCCCCGUACACAAAAAUGCACAUGCUGUGAGCUCGAUGAGUAGGGCGGGACACGUGGUAUCCUGUCUGAAUAUGGGGGGACCAUCCUCCAAGGCUAAAUACUCCUGACUGACCGAUAGUGAACCAGUACCGUGAGGGAAAGGCGAAAAGAACCCCGGCGAGGGGAGUGAAAAAGAACCUGAAACCGUGUACGUACAAGCAGUGGGAGCACGCUUAGGCGUGUGACUGCGUACCUUUUGUAUAAUGGGUCAGCGACUUAUAUUCUGUAGCAAGGUUAACCGAAUAGGGGAGCCGAAGGGAAACCGAGUCUUAACUGGGCGUUAAGUUGCAGGGUAUAGACCCGAAACCCGGUGAUCUAGCCAUGGGCAGGUUGAAGGUUGGGUAACACUAACUGGAGGACCGAACCGACUAAUGUUGAAAAAUUAGCGGAUGACUUGUGGCUGGGGGUGAAAGGCCAAUCAAACCGGGAGAUAGCUGGUUCUCCCCGAAAGCUAUUUAGGUAGCGCCUCGUGAAUUCAUCUCCGGGGGUAGAGCACUGUUUCGGCAAGGGGGUCAUCCCGACUUACCAACCCGAUGCAAACUGCGAAUACCGGAGAAUGUUAUCACGGGAGACACACGGCGGGUGCUAACGUCCGUCGUGAAGAGGGAAACAACCCAGACCGCCAGCUAAGGUCCCAAAGUCAUGGUUAAGUGGGAAACGAUGUGGGAAGGCCCAGACAGCCAGGAUGUUGGCUUAGAAGCAGCCAUCAUUUAAAGAAAGCGUAAUAGCUCACUGGUCGAGUCGGCCUGCGCGGAAGAUGUAACGGGGCUAAACCAUGCACCGAAGCUGCGGCAGCGACACUAUGUGUUGUUGGGUAGGGGAGCGUUCUGUAAGCCUGUGAAGGUGUGCUGUGAGG